UACAAGAAGGUUUUGCUAGCAGCCGGUGGU
This 30-nucleotide non-coding RNA is filed under the name Mus musculus (house mouse). The record is from RNAcentral. Lineage: Eukaryota; Metazoa; Chordata; Mammalia; Rodentia; Muridae.